UACGGAGGGUGCAAGCGUUGUCCGGAUUUAUUGGGUUUAAAGGGUGCGUAGGCGGCCCCGUAAGUCAGCGGUGAAACCCUUGGGCUCAACCCAAGGAGUGCCAUUGAUACUGCGGGGCUUGGGUUAUCUCUGGGCGGGCGGAAUGGAUGGUGUAGCGGUGAAAUGCAUAGAUAUCAACCAGAACGCCGAUAGCGAAGGCAGCUCGCUGGGGAUUUACCGACGCUGAGGCACGAUAGCGUGGGGAUCAAACAGG
Molecule: ribosomal RNA, 253 nt
Filed under: uncultured bacterium
Lineage: Bacteria
Description: partial 16S ribosomal RNA
Rfam family: Bacterial small subunit ribosomal RNA
Source: RNAcentral